This 465-nucleotide ribosomal RNA is filed under the name uncultured bacterium. Its description in RNAcentral is "partial 16S ribosomal RNA". It matches the Rfam family "Bacterial small subunit ribosomal RNA", at positions 338 to 795 of the family's 1533-position model. The record is from RNAcentral.
CCUACGGGCGGCAGCAGUAGGGAAUCUUCCACAAUGGACGAAAGUCUGAUGGAGCAACGCCGCGUGAGUGAAGAAGGGUUUCGGCUCGUAAAGCUCUGUUGGUAGGGAAGAAAGAAAGAGGGAGUAAGGGGCCAUGAGUGGACGGUAAGGACGGAGAAAGGGACGGCUAACUACGUGCCAGCAGACGCGGUCAUACGUAUGUGGCAAGCGUUGUCCGGAUUUCUUGGGCGUAAAGCGAGUGCAGGCGGUUCAUUUAGUCUGAUUUGAAAGCCUUCGGCUCCACCCUGGAAUUGCAUCAGAAACUUUUGAACUUGAGUGCAGAAGAGGAGAGUGGAACUCCAUGUGUAGCGGUGGAAUGCGUAGAUAUAUGGAAGAACACCAGUGGCGAAGGCGGCUCUCUUGUCUGCAACUGCCGCUGAUGCUCGACCGCAUGGGUAGCGAACAGGAUUAGAUACCCCUGUAGUC